This 13366-nucleotide long non-coding RNA is filed under the name Triticum aestivum (bread wheat). Its description in RNAcentral is "long non-coding RNA (TAES_LNC020075)". Lineage: Eukaryota; Viridiplantae; Streptophyta; Magnoliopsida; Poales; Poaceae. The record is from RNAcentral.
CCGGCUGGCUGUAUGCACCGUAUCUGAUCCUUCCUCUUUGUCCAUGUGUUGAAACCAAACACGGUUCGAUCUGAGCGGAUGAUCAACUUCUCCCUAUGCCAGGUAAAGUCUUGCACUCCUGAUGAAGUUUCAACCUUACCACCAAGAUGCAAAUUUUCUGCUCCUUUUUUCACCUAAUUAGAACGAACUGCAUAUGCGUUAUGAAGGUGUGCUUAAUUAUAUGAUGAAGUCUUGCGAGAGUCGGGAAUUAUUUUUCGGUUCAGUUCUUUUUAUUCCUGUUCUUCUGACGUUGGAUUGGUUCUGAAUGUUUUUUCAUACUGAAAGGAAGUUUCGUUAUGUGGCUAUAAAUUAAUUUGGGAAUGAAACGGGAAGUAUGAAAUCAUCUUCUUCCUAACAUCCCAGGCUCUCUAGUGAGAAUUCCUGAUGUCUGACUGCCCGUUCUUUCCGUAUUUGUAGACCGAUUCAGGAUUUACAUGUCGAUCAUCGUUUCUGGAGUGAUGGAUCUUCUGCAAAUUGAUCUGUGAAAGCCUUGAAGAAACAAAGAAACAAAACAUUCUAAUCCCCCGACUUAGUUAGGCAACAAUAACAUAGCAAGAACUUGAAAUAAAACACAUUCAUUUGGGAGCCCAUAUCACACGAAUUACAUUUCAAUUGACAUAGGAAAUGAAAAGGAAAAGGAAAAAAAGUUGUUACAAUGUGUGAAGAUUAUCAAAUUCACAAUAUUGACGCCCUUCCCUCCCCACAUGACUACCGCAAAAAUUAUCUGACACGAGGCAUUGCCAUGUUUAAUUGGACGCAAACAGAAGCACCGACACCAGUUACUUUGCGGCGAUAGGUCGACAGAACGAACUAGACAGGAAGGGAGGAAAGAAAUGAAGAUGGAGCUUGUUGCGCCAGCCCUCAAAGGGGAGGAUGGGAACUGACCAUGCGGCGGAGGAAGGGGAGAGAGAGGGAUAUAAAUUAAAGUGAUUAGAAGAGUAAUUACGCAAUCAGUAUAGACUUGCAGAGGCCCAUUUUUUAAGAAAAAACAGCGAGGACUAGCCCUUGGUUGCCAACUGAGCGACUCUCGGCGAUCAACUUAAUUCCUAAGGGUUUGGAUUAUAUGUUGAUGGAUGGCCGAGGUCGUGUGGUUCUGACAAACUUGUUAUUUUUAGAAAACAACCUGUUAAAAUACUACCAUAUCUAAAAAUUGCUUCCUUUUUUUGCCCACUAGCUCUAAAAUAUUAUGUCUUUCAUCCCAUUUAUCAAAAUCUCCCUGUCCCUAUGGCUUGGCCACUUGUCAAACCCAUACGUCAACUAAUUGAAGCCACAUCACAAAAUCUAAAUAAUAACAAGACUUCACUCUCUUUAAGCAAUAAUCUAGCGACGCAUUUGGCAUCCCUCCACGAGUCGGGCUUCAGCUUCUGGGAAUACGCCACUACCUCCUCCUGCCCUUGACGACAUUAUCUUUUUAAAAUCGCCAUCAAGGCACUUAAUUAAUUCAUAGGCAGGUUAACAUCUAAUUACAUGGGAUUACACCAUCAAUACUUGAAUCAAUAUCCAGCAUAAGUGUUGUCUUGGUGCACACACGUGCAUACAAUUGACAUUCCUAGCAAAACAAAAAGUAAAACCCCGGAAGUUUGAGAGAUAUCCCCUCAUCUUUUUGAAAAUCUGACCGCAUGCAGAGCGAUCCUCACCUUUCAUCCACAUAGAGUACAAGACUUGACAAUCCGUCUAGAGCACAAUGUACUGAAAGUCUUUCUCCAUAGCCAUAAUCACUCCUUCAUGGCAUGCCAGUGUCCCAAUGAUGAGCGGUUCAGAGAUUGCAUUAUAUUUAACAUACAUCGCCUGGAUAAGACCCAUCAUGUUCUCGAGCAAUCACCCCAGCUCCUGCUAUACCUCGACUUGAUUUUUGAAAUUGCUAUUAAAUUUUAUUUACUAAAAUAUUGUAAGCCACCUUCAAUUAAAUUUUGUUACAAAUAAUUCUAAGGAAUUUAUAAGGGUAAAUUACAAUUUAGAUUGUAAUUCUACUAUAUACUGUACUCUCGCCGUUUUAGUUUACUAGGUCCAUCUAAAAAAUCACUGUACCCAAAAAAGACCUAAUCAAGUGCUGGACCACGUAUUAAUGCAGUAUGCUUCGUCAUGGCUCUUUUCCUGCAUUUGUUGGUUCUAAAUUAAGAACCAAAAUUUGACAAAUACCAAUGUGGCUCUAAUUAAUGAUUGCGUAAACCCAAGGCACGGGGGCUUACAAACUAAAAACUCAGAUAUUUUGAGAUGGGUCUAACAAACUGGACGGGAGGGACUAUUAGGCAGUAACAUUAUGCUUGGAGUUGAAGUUUCAUGUCUUUUGAGAUUAAUAAUAAGAAUCCAUACAUUUAUUGUUCCAACACUUGAAUGUGGUAAACACAUGAAAUAUGUCAAAGUAGAGGGUAAAGAGGAAGAAAAAGCAAAUCAGAGUAUCUUGGACACUUCGGCACAAAUUAGUAGAAAUAGUAGAAUUUAUUCUGAAAAGGGAGAAUCAUGUUAACACCACGGAGCUCUGUGGGUGAAUUCAUUUGUAUCUGUAUAUAGGAGAUUCAGCCAGCAAAAGUUACACAUGGUCCACAAUCUCUUGUGAUUAACGAGUUGCGUAUGUCCUACAUAGUGCACCCAAUCUUCGGGAUAUUUUAGAACUUAGCCCGGGCACACAUGCCUCACAUUUUAACUCAUUCUAUGCUUCUCAUCAUUUCGUUGUUUGGUCACUCUUGCAGGUUCUAGGCCAGCUACCAAGCAUCAUCUGCUCGGGAUAUUUUGUUUACUCUGACAUCCCGUAACUCUGUUGAAUUACUCUCCUAUAUAUCGUCAUGUAUAGAUGGUGCGUUCCUUUUACAGCGAGCUGUACGUGUUGCACAACACAUCUUAUCUAUUCUACAGUUGCAGAGUUGCCUAGGAUUAUGUUCUCAGCAUUUCGUUCUUUGGUCACUUGUGCAGGUUCUGGGUCAGCCACCAAGAUUCCUCUGUUCUGCAUAUUUUGUUUCGUCUGACAUCCAACAAGUCUGGAAGCGAUCUCUUUAUAGCGUCACAUAUAACUGGCACGCUUCUUUUGAAGUCUCGUGCAUUUACUUGGAGCUCAUUGACACCGGUUAGUCUGAAGUGCAUCGGCUAUAAACAUGGGUAUUUUCGAUUAUUUUAAAUUUAUUUCAUCAGGACAUACAUUUCCAUGAAAAGAAAAUCAUCCCAUCUGCAUCAACAUUGAUGUUGUAGUGAGACCGAGAGAAGCCGAAGAAAACUUGCCAAGUCCUUUUUCCCAUUCUCCCGCGCAACCCAUCCCUAUGGCGGCUCCAGGACUGAAAUCCUAGUUCACCCCCCUCCUCUUGCGCUUGAGUCUUGUUUUGUCCCCAUUGGCUAGAGGUUGGACAGGGCGAGGCAUGUCACAUGUGGUGAUGGUGGCGUGCGACAAUGGUGACGCCGACGAGGCGCACCAUGGGAACAGUGGAGACAGGCGAUGCCGGAGACGCGUGGGUGGCGGUUGGCGCUAUGUGGUGGUGACGACAAUGGUGUAGGUGCCAAAGUGCGCAUGGUGGGCGGUGGGGUGCCAGGGGCACGGUGGCGGUAGGCGGUGCCAGAGUCACAUGGGUAGCAUGCGAUGGUGAUAGCGGCACAUGGCGGUGGUGGUGAGAUGCAUAGGGUGGACGGUGGGGCGCACCAAGGCAUGAUGGUGGUGGGUGGUGGCGAUUGGCGCUAUGUGGUGGUGACGACAAUGGNNNNNNNNNNNNNNNNNNNNNNNNNNNNNNNNNNNNNNNNNNNNNNNNNNNNNNNNNNNNNNNNNNNNNNNNNNNNNNNNNNNNNNNNNNNNNNNNNNNNNNNNNNNNNNNNNNNNNNNNNNNNNNNNNNNNNNNNNNAUGGUAUAGGUGCCAAAGUGCACAUGGUGGGCGGUGGGGUGCCAGGGGCACGGUGGCGGUAGGCGGUGCCAAAGUCACGUGGGUGGCAUGUGAUGGUGAUAGUGGCACAUGGCGGUGGCGGUGAGAUGCAUAGGGUGGACGGUGGGGCGCACCAGGGCACGAUGGUGGUGGGUGGUGGUGAUUGGCCAGUCACACGGGUGGCGUCGGUGGACCAGAUGCACGGUGGUGUUAAGGGGUGUGCUCGCGGCGGACGUGUCGGUCUACUUGUUAAGCUCCGACGACGAUAAAAAGCGCGAGGAUCGCGGCGACAAUGGAAGAUUCAGAGGAAGAGGAUGCGUCAGCGAAGGAAGAUGCAGAGGAGGCCGCUGGUGGUGGCGAGUGGUGUGCCCGCGGUGGAUGUUGUGUCGGUCGAUUUGUCGAGCUCCGACAACGACAAAUAGCACGAGGAUCAUGGCGGCAAUGGGAGAUUCGGAGGAAGAGGAUGUGUCGGGGAAGGAAGAUGAGGAGGAGGCCGAUGGUACCGACGAGGUAUGCAUCCCCUCGUGGGAGGAGGCGGAAAGGGAGUAUGAGUGGGCGCUACCCAAGGAGGAGCACCGGGGUGGGAUGGCUCAUCGCGCACGUCGUGUUGGAAAGGUCCAUCGGCGACGAGCGUGAGAUAGUCGAGAAUCACCAUGACAGCGAGAACAAGAGCUGCUCUUUUAGCGCCGAUGACUUGAAGGUACCAUGGUGGAGCAUCCAUGAUGCCGAUGAGUCGCUCGGGGAAGGCGUAUUUGAUCUACCUCUCUUCCGAUAAGGACAAACACGUUUAUCCCGUUUUUAGCUCUAAAUCUACUUCCUCCGUCACGGUUUAGAAGGCGCGCUUGAAAAUUCUCUGGGACCUAGGUGGUUAUCUAUUGGUUGUGGGAUGGGCUAAAAAAUAUCAUUCACAUUACGCAUGCAUAUAGAAAUAGUAUAUUGGAGUACUAAUUAGCUACUAGAAGUAAAUGCAAUGCGCCCUAAACCUUGUCUAUUGUGAAAACGCACGCAAAUUUAACUGUGCCUUCUAAACUGUGACAGAGGAAUUAGGUUGUAGUUAGUUUAAGUACUUGGAUAUUUAAUGUGCACCCUAAAAUCUAGCGUAGCGGCAUAGGUAGAAAUCUAGUUUGGUGCUCGAGAGACCUCAAAUCUGACCACACAACUACUCCCUCUGUUCCGAAUUACUUGUCGCAGGUAUAGAUGUAUCUAGAUAUAUUUUAGUUCUAGAUACAUCCAUUUCUGCGACGAGUAAUAUGAAAUUACUUGUCGCAGGUAUGGAUGUAUCUAGAUAUAUUUUAAUUCUAGAUACAUCCAUUUCUGCUACGAGUAAUAUGGAACAGAGGGAGUAUGAAGUAGCUGUAGUAAUGGACUUUUGUUUGCUGUGACAGAAGUUGCAGAAAGUAAAAAACCAUGCAAGUGAUAAGCUCUUAAGAUGUCGGCAACACCUAAUGUUUGCAUUGCACUCAUCAUUCAAUGUCUGUUAACACCCAAGUAGUAAAAUAAAUUUGAUCAGCUAGCAGUAGCACACUUCGUCUACCACACACACAGUGAGUCUCACAAACACAGUGGCUCAUUAAUGAGUACAAGUGGGACACCACAAAUGUUGAAGGCACUAGUCGCAAUCUCCAAGAAAGCACUAUUCGCAUUGCUCUUGCCCACGCAAACAGAUAGUACUACCACUCCAGUCUUGCCGCAGAACCCACUCAAACUUCCCUGACAUCAACCUCGGGAUCCGAGCAAGAACCACCAUGUUUCAUCAUUGUCAUGAGUGCAUCAAUGACAUAGUCUGAGUCAUAGUUGAUCAAGUGAAGCAAUUGAUCAGUACCAGUUCCCGCGAGCCUUGUCAUGGAGGCUGGGUAGUUGGGAACCAGGUUGCCAUCCUCAUCUUGCUCAUAAACAAUGUAGUUUUUGAUGCGAUUAUGUCCUUCCUUUGCUGACAAGGCAUUGACUGAACCAUUCAUCUGAUGCACUGCUUUAAUCAGUUUGUCAUUCCAUCCGUGCACCUCAUAGUACUUGUACAGCAGGGCAACAUAUAAAGCAAGGAAUGAUCUGCCCAUGCUAGACCAAUCAUGUAAGUGAUCGUUCAACUCUUCAUGAAGCGGGACUGCAUCCCCAUUCUUGAAGUUCUGCUCCGCAAACUGCAAGAACACCCCUGAACGUUGACACUCCCCAAAUAAUAUCAUAAAUGUCUGCAGCACUCUAACUCUAUCAUAUAUCCAAUCUCCAAUACUAGUGCUGUUCUCUGGAGUGAAUAUUUUCAAGUGACAAUUGGUGGGGGUGAAAGCAAGGAGGCAUUCCAGUAAGUUCAGAGUUAUCCCUUUACCAAGAGUUAUCCCCACUUGCUUCGUGUAUCCACUGUCCCAACUUAGCUUAUUCCCUUCCAGAUCAAAGGGAAGGUUUACAUCCUUAAAGUAAAACCAUCCACCCGGAUUUUCCUUGGUUGGAACAACAUAGAAUGCGAUCAGAUAACCGUCACUUUGGCGAAAUAGAAGCCACAGCACAACCUUACUGUCCAGCUCAAUCUCCACCAUGUUGUAUGUUUCCUGCAAUUCACAUUUGCACAUCAUUUCAACUCCUAGCCACAUGUAGGAAAAAGGAUAAGAAAAAGAAGAAAAGAAUCAGCGAAUAUUACAUUUUCAGAAGGCUGCGUGACUGGAACUCCUUGAAUGCUCAUUGAUCUCACUUUCUUAAAGAGCUUGCGUCUAGCAUCCAGAACUUCCUUCAAACCAUCAUAGUUACUCUGAAUGGCGCCACGCUCGUCAAUGCUUUGAAUAUUGCCAUCCUGGUCAGUCUUCAGUCUCCAUAUUACGCUCUUAACAUCCUGCAGCAAAGAGGAAGCAACAAGCAUUAGUUUCUAAAAAUCAUUUGCUAUGCUUUAUCAACUUGCGGACAGAACUCAAGGUCAUAAAUAUAUUGCAGUCUAGCAUUUGCCUCUAUAUAUAUCCAAAAUUCUGAACCUACAGUUAAUAUGACAACUCUGAUACUGCUUGUCAAGUCACAAGAUAAUGAAUUAAAGUGUUGCACUGUUAUCUGCUGGUAGGUAUAACACAUAUGCCCAAACAUAUCGCUUCUACUCCUGCUUUUGCACUUAAGGUGAACAGAUUGCACAUAUGAUUCAUAAACCAAAGCAUACUGCUUCUACUCUACUUAUGCACCGAAAAGUUACAGAUUGCACAAAGAACUCUUUCAUGAAGAAUAUUACAGCUUGCAUUUCAUGACAAUGAAAAGGGGCAAAUGAUAUUUUGCAUGUUUGUUCUCACAUUAAGUUAUGCAAAAAUUAAAAUAUACGAAUGUGUUGUUCAUAGUGGUUAAGUUCAACGAAUAUGUAGUAUUCCUGUUAAUUCUUAGUUAACUUACAGACCUGUGAGAGGCUGUGUAUAUUAGUUUAAAUAUAUAAUUCUAAUGAUGUCAGAAAGCUGUGAGGCAGUGGUCAUCUAACGAGCAGCUGUAAAUUAACUUUCUCUUUUGAAAGCCACAACCACAAUUAGUUAGCAGCAUGUCAAAUUGAAAAAAAAAAACAAGUGAGAGAGAAGAAUGCUUGUGGUCGUCCAACACACGGAUUAAGUGAUAUUUGGCAAGACAGAUUUCUUUAGGAAUUAGUUCAAAUUCGAACAAACAUAACUGAGCAUUAGAACCCAAAUUUCACCCAUUCAAACAAGCCCUGAGUGCAGUACCUGUAUGCUGAAAGAUUCUAUUCACUGCUGGCAUAGUCUGAAUAAUUAAGCAAUGAAAUUGCAAAACACCAUACAAUUUCAAUAGCAACAAGUGAAUGAUCUAGUGGAAGGAUGUGUUUGGUUUGAGCCCCAACUAGCCCACCAAAAUUUUGGCAUGACCAAGACAAGGGCAUGACUGAAAAUUCGGCAACUCCUUGUUGUUUGGAUUAUAGCAACUAGUUGAUACCCCGCGCGUUGCAGCGGGAUAUUUUGUUAGAAAUCUUUUGAAUGUGUAUCAAAGAAAAAAGGCAAUGAUUGAACAAAGUGGCAUGAUAUCAGGCGAGGUGUUUCGUGAAAACAUUUUAAACUCUCAUGUUCCAUGAAAUUGUGAGAAUUAAAUGGCAUAACUCAAAUUUGAUACAGAGCAGGUGGAGAAUUUGCAAUAUACUGUUACCACAGUAUGGUUCUGAUAUUAUCUUGGAAAAUUAUGCCAAGUGAAAAAAGUUAAAUUGAUUUGAAAAUCAUACACUAAAAAUUAAUGUACACACAUACGGAAGUACAGAGUUGAAAGCACAAUCCAUACAAUGCAAAGAAGUAACUUAAGGGUUGCAUAGUUGAAUCGAAAGUGCUGUACACACGAUGUUGAUGGACAAUUUGUGCACGACUUGCUUAAAAGCCACACAGAUUAAAGAAAUGAGGCAAUCCAAUGGUCUAGAUGACAUGUCGUGUCGGAAUCGUGCAAAAAUCUGUCAUGUGCAUAGCACUACUCUUGUUGAAUAGAAUCUGGAGUCUGUAGCAUUUGUUUCAUUGCGAUUUACGCAAAUAUUAGUUGUAGCAGAAAGUAGCAUUAUAUGAUAUCCGCCCAGAGUACAAAAGAAACAUGCUUAGUUGAAGCAUUGGUCUGAAUAUUUCUGCAAUUUCAUCUCAGAUUAGUUUUUUUGAAAAACAACUUGACUGGAGAUCAGAUAAACAAUCAUUAAUAGUAGUACUCCCUUCUCUGAAACAAAUUUAACUGCAUGCUAGUAUAUAACGGCCUAUGUAUCCAUCUCUUGUGGGAAAAGAAUUCUGUUAUACCAAAUCCAAAAAUUGCUAAACACUGUCCCACCACGAACAAAGCAGGAAUGCACUUACCUGUCCAUAGUACAACCUAAAACAUAGUUCCAAAAAAUAUAGAGGGAGUUCAGGGUAGCAACAAAUUAAAGGCAGAGUGGAGAAACUGAAUCCUCAUGGGAACCAAAUGACAUCUACUGUUGUUGGCAACAUAGGCAUCCAUGAUCCAUGGUGAUGGAGUCUCCAGCCAAGCUUCUUCAUAACAAUCAUGGCGAAGGCUGGAUGGAAAGUAAAGUCAAUCAAAUCUGCGGCCUCCUCUUACGGCAAUAGUUAGCCAAAACACGCAGCGGUGAAAACUGUCAUAUGGCGAGGAGUGGCCGCGCAACUGGAUGAAGGGGUAGCCUGAUUGAACCGAAAGAAGACAGAGGAUUUAUGAGGAUCGAUGAAGCCCAAGGGAGAGGAACUGAGGGGUCUCGUUGGGAGAGCAAUUGCCCAGCGCGUCCUUUUCUGUUGCAAGAUUUGAUGGAAGAAGAUGAAAAGAGAGGGGACUCAGCAGGCGCAUGCAUCCGGAGGGCUCGUGGCGGCGGCUGGCUGUGCGCCUGCGCCAAAGAAGUAGGCAAUCGGGGAGAUUUGUUUUUUUCUUUCACAGGAUAUCCUUUGUUUCCCCAUGGGCUUCGAAUAUCUAAGACGGACGUACAAUCCAUUUAACACUUGGCCCAGCCCAACUCCCUCGUUUGCUUCUCAUUUAGCCCAGUUUGAGGGUCGUCUUCAACCUUCUGCACAUGCACGAACAAACAUAGACGCACAACUACUAUGAAUACCUAUCAUAUUGGACAAUUUAGGCCACGGAUUGCGUUAACUUCAAACAUAAAAUUUGUUAUCCUAUUAGUCACGAACCCAUUCCACCAGAAUGCAGAGGAUAUUGUACAGUAACAAAGGAGAUCGAGAAAAGGAGCUUGGCCAUAGGGAAUGACCGGUCGCACUAUCAAGGAACCACCAGAGGGCCACAGUAUCGAGGGAACCAUGCAAGAGAGCGGAGGAGUCUAUCUGGGGACACCAUAGUCGGUGCGCUACCACGGCGAGCUAGAUAGUCAUAGAUAAGCCACGGGGAUGACCCGUCACAAUUGAUGAAUGUUUGCGCUUUUGUAUAUCCAGUUCGUUUGGAGGAGAAAGAAUGAAGGAGAAGGAACGAAACGUUAUUUCACUUAGCGGUGGCAGCUCUCAGUAAUUUGGGCCAACUCUUGAUCAGACGACUGUAGACGACCGAUCUAUGAUGCAUCAAUGGCUAGAACAAUUCGGGUGACGUGGCUUCAUGAGAAGGCAGGAAAAUCAUCUAGUGGGGUGCCCCUAUUUAGAUAUAGAAGAUUGCACCUACUAUUUUUUUGGCAACAUGUAUUAGUUUUUGCUUAGUUUGAUUCCUAUUCAGCUAUCAUGUUGCGUUAACAAAUGCAGAAACAAAUGUUAAACAAAACUUAGUUAACUACAGUGUGGCAAAAGAAACUGAAUGAACCUGUAAAAAGUGUGGAUCUUUAACACCGAUGUCACCAUGCACCUAGUUCUACCUAUCUCUGAAGACAUAGUCGAUUAUAGGAAAAGUCACAGCUGAUUAUACGGAAACUGAGACAACUAAAUUGACGUGGCUAAACAGGACUAGUUACACUUACAUGGCUUCAUACAUGGAAACUGAACACGCGCUUAAUGAUCUAUUCAAACUAUUGCUGGAUGAGAUGUCACCGCUUAUUGCUUCCGUCAACCGUCAACGUGAACUCAUGUAGUUAAUCUACCUCACUAAUUGCUUCAGUGUUUCAGUACAGAAUGAGGCCCCACAUAUGUGAAGCGGGCAAGCUGGUCUGCCAAAUAUUUGGCGAGUGCUUUAGCGCAAACGGUAUGCCCAGGCAUUGGCGAAAAUUACAUGGGAGCAUGAGGACUUGCUUUGGCGAACCAAAUUUUUGGCAUCUAUAUGCAAGCAAAAGUCAAAUCUCACGGACAAGUCACAAAAUUGGUAUGGCUAGUAUUGGUAGUAACCAGACACCUGAAGUCUCACCAAAGAUAAAAUUUACUUUCAAAGUCAAUUAUAUUAGCGUUGCAACAACUAGCAAUCCCUUGCAAGUUCAUAAAUUCAGUUACUUUCUUGACUGUCCCUAAAUACCAGACCGGUCAAAUUCGUCAAAACCUGCUUUUUAAGCUAGACGCAGCACAAGCAAGUAGGUAUUCGCCCAGAUCUACUUUUCAAGUAAAUAUCCUAGCCGGAUGUAGAAAAUAUCCUAUCAUUUCACCAGAUCUAGAGAUACGGAAGAAUAUUUGGAAGCCGAAGAUGGCAGGGGGGAUGGAUUGGUAGAUGCAUACCGAAAUGCUGGUCUGCUUGCAAGCAAUCGACCGCCUCGAGGCCUCCUGAAAAGCCAAAUCCUUUUUCUUCUGCACCGCAUCCCCCGCCCCACUAUUCUGGCUGCUAUCAGAUGGUCGACUGCUGCUACUGAUAGUUGCCUUCGUCCCUCCGCGGCUGCUGGAUUCGUUGACCGACGCUCCUCUUUUCUUCCCCCCCCCCACCUCCCCCCGGCUAUGUGUAGCGCCGCGCCGCGCCUCCCACCGCCCCUUCCUCUUGUGCAAGCGACGAAUCUGUGGAGAGAGUAUAAGCGGAGGAGCACUUGCGGUGACUGUAAAGUCGACACUUUUCUACUGCCUGCCCGACUAAUGCUUCUCAAGAGAGGAUGGUUUAGGAUAUCUCCAAGGCCGGCCCUCAAAAGGUCCGCAUACAUUUGGACCCCCUUGUCCAAAUGCGUUGUGCCAUUCAAUAUGGCCCUGUAUCGGUCAAUCGAAUGAUUCAGACGUGUUUUCUUUCAUAAACCGAAAACAAACAUGGGGCUUUGGGGGCAUCCGACCACUCCCAAGUCCACGUCUGACCGCUUUGGCCCACCCAAAUCGUCCCCCUCGCCCGCGAUUGCUUCCCACCUGUAACGGUUAGCGCCGCUCCAGAGCGUUAGUGCCGCAUUCAUGCUCGGCUAGAGUGUAUGUAACCUCUCAUUGUCGUCGGCAUUGAAGCGGCAUGUAGGUCGAGAGACAGUCGCCCGCGCUGCUUCCCGGUGCAGGCGACUGCUCCAUGUUCAGACGACACAACGACUGGUCGUCCAUUCGUCUGUCGCCCACAGUAAUGACACAGUUGCCGAUGCGUCUAGUCCGGCGCACCCGUCCGUCCCUGUCGCCCACCAUUACUAUAUAAACUGCUUCUCCGGCCAUAGCCAUAGUCACCCGCCUAUCCGUCUGCCGCCCACAGUAAUGACACAGUUGCCGAGGCAUCUAGUCCGGCGCCACCCGUCCGUCCCUGUCGCCCACCAUUACUAUAUAAACUGCUUCCCCGGCCAUAGCCAUAGUCAUCCGCCUCCAAUCCCUUUCUCCUCUCCGCACCACUUCGACCAUGACUUUCUCGCGCUCCAAAGCACUCUGGGAUGGGCUGAUGACGGACCAGAAGAAGAUGACCGCCAUUACUAUCGACUGGCUGGCGGGCUGACAGCCGGAGGAUGACGACGUCCCAAUGGAGGACGACGAGCCGGCGCCACUCUCCUCGUCCGCACCACCCUCACCGGUGCAUUGCACCAUGACCAUCGGCGAGGCCUGUGCCCAUUACAUUGACAUGGUGAGGGAGGAGCGGGAGGACUAGUUCCGGGAGGCGCAGGUCGACGCCACCUACAACCUCCAGCUCCUCCAAGAGCACCAGCAGGUGGAGCAGCAGCUCAACGUCGGCAGGGUGAUCGCACCGGAUGUGAACGUGGCAGAGCAGGCGGUGCUGCUCGAGUCCUACAGCUCCGUUCGCCAGAUCCACCUCGACCGAUGGCGGGACCUCCAUCGUCAGGCGAAACUGGAGGCCGCCUACAAGGGGUUCGACGAGGCACCGGACGAGGUGUGGGGCAAGACCGGCGAGGUGGAGGACAUCGCCGGCUCUGCCCCGCCGCCACGAUCACGAAGCCGACACGUCCGUGGGCGCCACUGGCAGCGAGGAAAAGUAGUGCACGGCAUGUCGCCACCGCUCGGGUCCCAAAAAGGCCACCGCUCUCCCCUCUCAUUGAAGCCAAGCUUGGUGGGUUCAACAUCGCCGGUUGGUGAGCCGCUUGGCGGCGAUGUGGAGGCGGAUAACUUCACUUCUCGGGGCUUCGAAGGCGGAGCUGAAGAGCGCCGAUGCGGAACUAAAGAAGGCGAAGCUUCAGUUCUUGGGGCUCAUGGUCGGACAGGGGAAACAGACGCCGACGAUAAUAGAUUAGGUUAAUUAAUUAUACCUUCGGAGCCGAACGAGCAAUACUUUUAGUUGAAGUAUGUCCGAAAUGUAAUGAAAUCCGGCAUGUAUGAAAUCCAACAUGUUUAUAUGAAAUUCGGCCGUGUUUGAAUGAAUUUCGUCCGGUUAGUUUGAAUUAUUAUCCAAAUGUAUGCAGACAGUGUUGGAUGACGGCGUCUCGCAUCCGUGUCUGUGGGCUGGUCCCCCUGUCCAGGGAAGGAAAUUUACGGAUCGCCGUUGGAGAUUCCCUUAGAGGAAUAAUGAUUUUAGCCCGGUUUUCCAUGCUUAAUCGAGCAUUGGUUUUCAGAUGUGUUUACCUGCAUCAAUUUAGCCGAUCCGCAUUUAUAGCUGAGUUACUACAUGCUAUAAAUCAUGUUCUGCAUAUAGGUGGUUGUCUGCAUUGCAUCAUGAAGUUAUCUUCACUCGGGCUCUCCCUCUAGUGACCAGCCGCCGUUAUCGGAUCUUGUCGAAGGAGGUUGUCCCCUAGUUGCCACGCUGGAGCUCGCCGCUCGUCACAACGGAAG